AUGCUUCCCCGAGCUCACGUUGACCUCACUGUGAGCCCCGCCCGCACCUGUGCAUCCUUUUGUGCUCGUGCCCAAGCUUAUGCGUGCCGACCAUCGUCGCCUGUAGUCUCGCCGCCGCACACCUUUCUGCUGUUUGUGGCCUCGCGCCUGCCAUCGCCGCUGCCUUCAGCUGCUCUUGCUGUUCCUCACUGCAGGCCGCGGCCGCCCACACAUGCGGUAUCCCAUGCAGCUCGCCCCGCCGAGCCCACGCCCGCGGCGGCUCGCCGACCGCACUCCGCUACCGCCCCGACCUCGUCCGCCUCCGCCCACUGCGACGACGGCUGCUCCCACCGUGCCCCCAGCUCGCGCCGGCCGAGCCCCAACGUGCGCGCCCGCAGCCGCUGCUCCCUGCGUGCUGCCGCGAUUGCUCUUGCCACUGCUUGGCCACUAGCUGUUGUUGUUUUAGCUGCUGCUAGCGCUCCUAGCUACUGCUGUGUGCUGCCCUGCUGCUGA
This 492-nucleotide ribosomal RNA is filed under the name Triticum aestivum (bread wheat). RNAcentral's name for it is "partial small subunit ribosomal RNA". The record is from RNAcentral. Lineage: Eukaryota; Viridiplantae; Streptophyta; Magnoliopsida; Poales; Poaceae.